Molecule: transfer RNA, 74 nt
Filed under: Ignavibacteria bacterium
Lineage: Bacteria; Pseudomonadati; Ignavibacteriota; Ignavibacteria
Description: tRNA-Arg
Rfam family: tRNA
About the family: Transfer RNA (tRNA) molecules are approximately 80 nucleotides in length. Their secondary structure includes four short double-helical elements and three loops (D, anti-codon, and T loops). Further hydrogen bonds mediate the characteristic L-shaped molecular structure. tRNAs have two regions of fundamental functional importance: the anti-codon, which is responsible for specific mRNA codon recognition, and the 3' end, to which the tRNAs corresponding amino acid is attached (by aminoacyl-tRNA synthetases). tRNAs cope with the degeneracy of the genetic code in two manners: having more than one tRNA (with a specific anti-codon) for a particular amino acid; and 'wobble' base-pairing, i.e. permitting non-standard base-pairing at the 3rd anti-codon position.
Source: RNAcentral
GCGCCCAUAGUUCAAUUGGAUAGAAUAUCGGAUUCCGGGUCCGACGGUUGGAGGUUCGAGUCCUCCUGGGCGCA